This is a non-coding RNA of Paramuricea clavata, 100 nucleotides long. The record is from the annotation of a GenBank genome assembly. NCBI's taxonomy places the organism in Eukaryota, Metazoa, Cnidaria, Anthozoa, Malacalcyonacea, Plexauridae.
UACCUCAAAAACCCACAACAGUCUGUUUCAUCCGUAUAGGAAUCAUCAGGUGGUCCACCUGAUGAUUCCUAUACGGAUGAAACAGACUGUUGUGGUUUUU